GUUGUAUUUGCUACCAUAAAGCUGAAGGUGGACAUCAUGAUACGCAGAAUUGUUUCUAAAGAAAAUAUGAAGGGGGUUUCCAGGAAGCAUUAGCCCACAAUGGUCGUCCACUGUUUUGAUGGUGGCAAAAGAGAAGAAAUAGAUGGAGGUCCGAGGAGACAUGCCAGAGAGCAUAAACGAUAAGGCUCCACCUACUGUGUCAAGGAGAAGCCCCUCUAAUGGAUGAUUGUACAAAGCUCCAAAUGCGUAGGGAACAACAAGACGGUGAUGCCGAGAGUGGAGGUGCCGAUAUAAGAACUUGUUCUCGUGGAAGUAUCGAUGCAAAAAGUAUUGCCAAGUGUCCAUAACCAACAUUGCUGUAACGAACUGGCUAGCCAGAACAAUAAACGAAGAUGGCUG
RNAcentral lists this long non-coding RNA (399 nucleotides) under Gossypium barbadense (sea-island cotton). Its description in RNAcentral is "long non-coding RNA (GBAR_LNC002309)". Lineage: Eukaryota; Viridiplantae; Streptophyta; Magnoliopsida; Malvales; Malvaceae. The record is from RNAcentral.